Pollicipes pollicipes is the source of this 899-nucleotide long non-coding RNA. RefSeq lists it as uncharacterized. The record is from RefSeq and is a predicted model, not a curated record. NCBI's taxonomy places the organism in Eukaryota, Metazoa, Arthropoda, Thecostraca, Pollicipedomorpha, Pollicipedidae. The transcript has 2 exons.
CCUGGCCGCGCGCCGUCCGUCCGGCGACGCCAGCGCCACCUGCGCGGCGCCGCCCGCCCGCCCUGCGCCGACUGGACCGUCGCCGCCGUCCGGAACGCCGCCGCCAGCUGGGCUGUGUUCGCCAGCCAGACCGCCUUCACCGGCGCCUCGACCGCCGGCCUCUGGCGAGGAGCAGCGGCGAUCGCGAGCCGCCGCCGCCGAGCCUGAUCCGGCCGCCGAGCCGGGCCGUAAAGGUAGUGCCGCAUUGCCUCCUCUCCGGGUGCGAUGAAGGUGUCCCUAGCCCGCGGGACCCUCAGCGCAGGACCACACCCGCCGCCGUCAUCAGCAACAGACGACCGGCCGUGUUGCUGUUACCCGCCGAUGCUAGUGCCAUCUUGUGACUGGCAUGAACACUGCUAGUUGUGUGUCGACCGCACCGUCGCGCGUUCGCGGUGGCCGUGGUCGGGCGACUUUGGCUUGGGAGCGGAGACGAAAUGCGCCUAUUUUGGUAUCGGCGUACAGAUGUGCUAGAAGUUAUAGAUAUAUACGCUUCGUAUCUUAUGGACUUGCCGUCGAUUGCUGGAUGUAGAUGGUUACGAUAGUAGACGUCUGCCGGUUGCCAGCAAGCGUGUUAGACACUGCAGGCUGGGUUAAACGAUACGACGAGCUUUCGCGUUCGUGUGCCGAAGAAUUGUUUUGCCAUGCAUGCCAGCCCCGCUAUGGCUGUUGCGUUGUACUUGUUAGUGUGAUUUUGUCAGCCAGUGUGUGUGGGUUUUGCUGGAGCAUUCGUCGUAUUUAAGGAAAUGUGCUAGCCAUUUUGCCAUGCCAAUUUAAGCACUAACAUUCCCUGUGUGUUGGUGCUCGACUUACCGUUCCUGUGAUAGCCGCAUGACCGAGCCAAAUACACUGUUACGGUAUUA